Molecule: unclassified non-coding RNA, 374 nt
Filed under: soil metagenome
Description: partial contains internal transcribed spacer 2 and large subunit ribosomal RNA
Rfam family: 5.8S ribosomal RNA (bases 1-120)
Source: RNAcentral
GAUGAAGAACGUAGCGAAAUGCGAUAAUUAAUGUGAAUUGCAGAAUUCCGUGAAUCUUCGAGUCUUUGAACGCACAUUGCGCCUCAUGGCAUUCCGUGAGGCAUGCCCAUCUCAGCGUUAGAAAAUAUUCUCAAAUUUUAGUUUUGUGCUAAAAUUUGGAUCAUGUCAAGGAAGCUAUUACUAUUAUUGUGAUCGCUCUUUGGAAAUUGAUAGGUCUUUGAGUUGCUACUCAUAGAACGUGAUGAAUCUUUCUUCGUUCUAUUGUAAUUCACUCUGGUAGUCCUAAAACUUGUAUGCCUGUGGCAUAUCUUGUAAUUUGACCUGAGAUUGGGUAGGGAUACCCGCUGAACUUAAGCAUAUCAAUAAGCGGAGGA